This 2905-nucleotide ribosomal RNA is filed under the name Salmonella enterica. RNAcentral describes it as "23S ribosomal RNA". It matches the Rfam family "Bacterial large subunit ribosomal RNA". The record is from RNAcentral. Lineage: Bacteria; Pseudomonadati; Pseudomonadota; Gammaproteobacteria; Enterobacterales; Enterobacteriaceae.
GGUUAAGCGACUAAGCGUACACGGUGGAUGCCCUGGCAGUCAGAGGCGAUGAAGGGCGUGCUAAUCUGCGAUAAGCGCCGGUAAGGUGAUAUGAACCGUUAUAACCGGCGAUACCCGAAUGGGGAAACCCAGUGUGACUCGUCACACUAUCAUUAACUGAAUCCAUAGGUUAAUGAGGCGAACCGGGGGAACUGAAACAUCUAAGUACCCCGAGGAAAAGAAAUCAACCGAGAUUCCCCCAGUAGCGGCGAGCGAACGGGGAGGAGCCCAGAGCCUGAAUCAGCAUGUGUGUUAGUGGAAGCGUCUGGAAAGGCGCGCGAUACAGGGUGACAGCCCCGUACACAAAAGCGCAUGUGCUGUGAGCUCGAUGAGUAGGGCGGGACACGUGGUAUCCUGUCUGAAUAUGGGGGGACCAUCCUCCAAGGCUAAAUACUCCUGACUGACCGAUAGUGAACCAGUACCGUGAGGGAAAGGCGAAAAGAACCCCGGCGAGGGGAGUGAAAAAGAACCUGAAACCGUGUACGUACAAGCAGUGGGAGCACCCUUUGGGGUGUGACUGCGUACCUUUUGUAUAAUGGGUCAGCGACUUAUAUUCUGUAGCAAGGUUAACCGAAUAGGGGAGCCGGAGGGAAACCGAGUCUUAAUUGGGCGUUAAGUUGCAGGGUAUAGACCCGAAACCCGGUGAUCUAGCCAUGGGCAGGUUGAAGGUUGGGUAACACUAACUGGAGGACCGAACCGACUAAUGUUGAAAAAUUAGCGGAUGACCUGUGGCUGGGGGUGAAAGGCCAAUCAAACCGGGAGAUAGCUGGUUCUCCCCGAAAGCUAUUUAGGUAGCGCCUCGUGAACUCAUCUCCGGGGGUAGAGCACUGUUUCGGCUAGGGGGCCAUCCCGGCUUACCAACCCGAUGCAAACUGCGAAUACCGGAGAAUGUUAUCACGGGAGACACACGGCGGGUGCUAACGUCCGUCGUGAAGAGGGAAACAACCCAGACCGCCAGCUAAGGUCCCAAAGUCAUGGUUAAGUGGGAAACGAUGUGGGAAGGCCCAGACAGCCAGGAUGUUGGCUUAGAAGCAGCCAUCAUUUAAAGAAAGCGUAAUAGCUCACUGGUCGAGUCGGCCUGCGCGGAAGAUGUAACGGGGCUAAACCAUGCACCGAAGCUGCGGCAGCGACACUGUGUGUUGUUGGGUAGGGGAGCGUUCUGUAAGCCUGUGAAGGUGGCCUGUGAGGGUUGCUGGAGGUAUCAGAAGUGCGAAUGCUGACAUAAGUAACGAUAAAGCGGGUGAAAAGCCCGCUCGCCGGAAGACCAAGGGUUCCUGUCCAACGUUAAUCGGGGCAGGGUGAGUCGACCCCUAAGGCGAGGCCGAAAGGCGUAGUCGAUGGGAAACGGGUUAAUAUUCCCGUACUUGGUGUUACUGCGAAGGGGGGACGGAGAAGGCUAUGUUGGCCGGGCGACGGUUGUCCCGGUUUAAGCGUGUAGGUGUGUGUUCCAGGUAAAUCCGGUUCACUUUAACACUGAGGCGUGAUGACGAGGCACUACGGUGCUGAAGCAACAAAUGCCCUGCUUCCAGGAAAAGCCUCUAAGCAUCAGGUAACAUCAAAUCGUACCCCAAACCGACACAGGUGGUCAGGUAGAGAAUACCAAGGCGCUUGAGAGAACUCGGGUGAAGGAACUAGGCAAAAUGGUGCCGUAACUUCGGGAGAAGGCACGCUGACACGUAGGUGAAGUGAUUUACUCAUGGAGCUGAAGUCAGUCGAAGAUACCAGCUGGCUGCAACUGUUUAUUAAAAACACAGCACUGUGCAAACACGAAAGUGGACGUAUACGGUGUGACGCCUGCCCGGUGCCGGAAGGUUAAUUGAUGGGGUCAGCGCAAGCGAAGCUCCUGAUCGAAGCCCCGGUAAACGGCGGCCGUAACUAUAACGGUCCUAAGGUAGCGAAAUUCCUUGUCGGGUAAGUUCCGACCUGCACGAAUGGCGUAAUGAUGGCCAGGCUGUCUCCACCCGAGACUCAGUGAAAUUGAACUCGCUGUGAAGAUGCAGUGUACCCGCGGCAAGACGGAAAGACCCCGUGAACCUUUACUAUAGCUUGACACUGAACAUUGAGCCUUGAUGUGUAGGAUAGGUGGGAGGCUUUGAAGUGUGGACGCCAGUCUGCAUGGAGCCGACCUUGAAAUACCACCCUUUAAUGUUUGAUGUUCUAACGUGGACCCGUAAUCCGGGUUGCGGACAGUGUCUGGUGGGUAGUUUGACUGGGGCGGUCUCCUCCUAAAGAGUAACGGAGGAGCACGAAGGUUGGCUAAUCCUGGUCGGACAUCAGGAGGUUAGUGCAAUGGCAUAAGCCAGCUUGACUGCGAGCGUGACGGCGCGAGCAGGUGCGAAAGCAGGUCAUAGUGAUCCGGUGGUUCUGAAUGGAAGGGCCAUCGCUCAACGGAUAAAAGGUACUCCGGGGAUAACAGGCUGAUACCGCCCAAGAGUUCAUAUCGACGGCGGUGUUUGGCACCUCGAUGUCGGCUCAUCACAUCCUGGGGCUGAAGUAGGUCCCAAGGGUAUGGCUGUUCGCCAUUUAAAGUGGUACGCGAGCUGGGUUUAGAACGUCGUGAGACAGUUCGGUCCCUAUCUGCCGUGGGCGCUGGAGAACUGAGGGGGGCUGCUCCUAGUACGAGAGGACCGGAGUGGACGCAUCACUGGUGUUCGGGUUGUCAUGCCAAUGGCACUGCCCGGUAGCUAAAUGCGGAAGAGAUAAGUGCUGAAAGCAUCUAAGCACGAAACUUGCCCCGAGAUGAGUUCUCCCUGAGACUUAGAGUCUCCUGAAGGAACGUUGAAGACGACGACGUUGAUAGGCCGGGUGUGUAAGCGCAGCGAUGCGUUGAGCUAACCGGUACUAAUGAACCGUGAGGCUUAACCUU